AUGAGAGAUACCGUAUGCAUGCACCAUCCAACCCUUCACCAGGUGGGCGUGACACCAACAGGAGCCUUCCUCUGUGUCUUCUGCACCCUGGAACAGCAAUGCAUUGUCUCAGCAGACACACAACCGGACCUGCCUCUCCUAUGUCAUUGGUGUAAGACCGGAUCACUUGGGUCACAACUGCAUAGGAACUAUUGUACAUCCCUGCAGAUCAAAUCACCAUUGGCUGCUUGGGGGAUGUCUAAGCCCCACCUCAUUGGAUCAUACAUUCAGGCAGUCUGUUUCAAGUGGCAAAGGAACCCAACAAUUUCACAUCUGGUCCUACUCAUCCAAACCCAUAACGUCCAAGUGGGUUUAACCUUAAACUGUCCACAUCCCUCCUGAAGCGCAGCACCCAGAACUGGACACAGCACUCCAACUGCGGCCUGACCAAUGUCACAUAGAGGGGGAGGAUCACCUCCUUGGACCUGCUCAUGAUGAAUCUGUG
RNAcentral lists this long non-coding RNA (484 nucleotides) under Crocodylus porosus (Australian saltwater crocodile). RNAcentral's name for it is "lncRNA (ENSCPRG00005004455.1)". The record is from RNAcentral. Lineage: Eukaryota; Metazoa; Chordata; Crocodylia; Crocodylidae.